RNAcentral lists this ribosomal RNA (490 nucleotides) under uncultured bacterium. RNAcentral's name for it is "partial 16S ribosomal RNA". It matches the Rfam family "Bacterial small subunit ribosomal RNA", at positions 30 to 507 of the family's 1533-position model. The record is from RNAcentral.
AUUGAACGCUGGCGGCAGGCCUAACACAUGCAAGUCGAACGGUAACACAAAGCGGCUUGCUGCUUUUCUGUCGCGUGGCGGGCGGGUGUGUAAAGUCCGGGAAACUGCCUGUUGGAGGGGGUUAUCUACUGGAAACGGUUGCUCGUCCCGCAUAACGUCGCUAGGCCUAAGAGGGGGACCUUCGGGACCCUUGCCCUCCUAUGUGCCCAUAUGGGAUUAGCUAGUAGGUGGGGUGACGGCUCACCCCGGCGACGCUCCCUAGCUGGUCUGCGAGGGUGAUCAGCCACACUGGAACUGAGACACGGUCCAGACUCCUACGGGAGGCAGCAGUGGGGAAUAUUGGACAAUGGGCGCAAGCCUGAUGCAGCCAUACCGCGUGUAUGAAGAAGGCCUUCGGGUUGUAAAGUACUUUCGUCGGGGAGGAAGGGAGUAAAGUUAAUACCUCUGUUCUUUGACGUUACCCACAGAAGAAGCACCGGCUAACUCCGUG